CAUCUAGGCGGGAUGUUAAGUCAGGUGUGAAAUUCCACGGCUCAACCGUGGACCUGCAUUUGAUACUGGCAUUCUUGAGUUCGGUAGAGGAAGGCGGAAUUCCCGGUGUAGCGGUGAAAUGCGUAGAUAUCGGGAAGAACACCGGUGGCGAAGGCGGCCUUCUGGACCUGGACUGACGCUGACAUGCGAAAGUGUGGGGAUCAAACGG
This 208-nucleotide ribosomal RNA is filed under the name uncultured bacterium. RNAcentral's name for it is "partial 16S ribosomal RNA". It matches the Rfam family "Bacterial small subunit ribosomal RNA", at positions 568 to 775 of the family's 1533-position model. The record is from RNAcentral.